RNAcentral lists this ribosomal RNA (750 nucleotides) under Bacillus sp. DJCJ54. RNAcentral's name for it is "bacterial SSU rRNA". It matches the Rfam family "Bacterial small subunit ribosomal RNA", at positions 406 to 1149 of the family's 1533-position model. Lineage: Bacteria; Bacillati; Bacillota; Bacilli; Caryophanales; Bacillaceae. The record is from RNAcentral.
CGAUGAAGGCCUUCGGGUCGUAAAGCUCUGUUGUUAGAGAAGAACAAGUACGAGAGUAACUGCUCGUACCUUGACGGUACCUAACCAGAAAGCCACGGCUAACUACGUGCCAGCAGCCGCGGUAAUACGUAGGUGGCAAGCGUUAUCCGGAAUUAUUGGGCGUAAAGCGCGCGCAGGCGGUCUCUUAAGUCUGAUGUGAAAGCCCACGGCUCAACCGUGGAGGGUCAUUGGAAACUGGGAGACUUGAGUGCAGGAGAGAAAAGUGGAAUUCCACGUGUAGCGGUGAAAUGCGUAGAGAUGUGGAGGAACACCAGUGGCGAAGGCGGCUUUUUGGCCUGUAACUGACGCUGAGGCGCGAAAGCGUGGGGAGCAAACAGGAUUAGAUACCCUGGUAGUCCACGCCGUAAACGAUGAGUGCUAGGUGUUGGGGGGUUCCACCCUCAGUGCUGAAGUUAACACAUUAAGCACUCCGCCUGGGGAGUACGACCGCAAGGUUGAAACUCAAAGGAAUUGACGGGGGCCCGCACAAGCAGUGGAGCAUGUGGUUUAAUUCGAAGCAACGCGAAGAACCUUACCAGGUCUUGACAUCCUUUGACCACUCUAGAGAUAGAGCUUUCCCCUUCGGGGGACAAAGUGACAGGUGGUGCAUGGUUGUCGUCAGCUCGUGUCGUGAGAUGUUGGGUUAAGUCCCGCAACGAGCGCAACCCUUGACCUUAGUUGCCAGCAUUCAGUUGGGCACUCUAAGGUGAC